Molecule: long non-coding RNA, 707 nt
Organism: Bos taurus (domestic cattle)
Lineage: Eukaryota; Metazoa; Chordata; Mammalia; Artiodactyla; Bovidae
Source: Ensembl
CUUAAACAAGGUAUGCAGAGAAUUUGUGUUUCUGUCUCAUUUAUGCCCUAUAUGGCACCCCUUCAACCACUCUUCAGUCAGUCCCCUUAACUCACUGCCUUAACAUUCCCUUUUACUUUCCCUAGGAACUCUCUGUCAGAGUUUAGUUCUAUACUCAGGCUGGGAAAACUACUGGAUACAAUCUGCAGCCAAGACUGUUGCUGCUAUACAUUUCAGAGGUCCAUUCAUUUAUAGGUAAAGUCUUUAUUGUGCUCUUGUCACACACCAGAUGCUGUGCUAGGCCCAGUGGUCGUAGCAUGGACAGAACCACAGAGGCUCAAUAUCCUCACGGAGCUUCAAAUCCAUCUAAGGGUCCAGUAACAGCUGCAUUUCCUGCCUACUGGUUCCUCUGAGGACACGUUCCUGGUUAAAGCCCACUCCUGUUUUCCACACUGGCCAAUCCAGACCAUCACCACAUUUCUCAAGUUUAUCAAUAUAAGCUCACUUUGAUCUCUAGCAGUCUCCUCUGCAGAGAAGUCUCAAAUCAUCUUUCCAGAAGAGCAGACUGAGCACAGCCAAGCGAUCUUGGAAGCUUCGGGGACUCACUGCUCCAUUUUAGCAACUUGGUGGUCUGGAAUUGAACUCGCAAUAUCUCUGAAGUCAGCCUGUGGUCCUCAUGAUGACCCUCCUAAGUUAAGUAUUGUUAUUCCUCUUUCAGGGGAUCUUCC